GUCAAAGUGCCCUCUUCUCGGUGAGCCUGCAGCGUACUACUCACAUACAUCUCUAUGGGCUUGCGCAGCGGAGACCAGCUCGCACGCCUCCCGUCAACUCAAACAGUUGUUUGCAUGACAACUCCUUUCCACUAAAGAGUGCGACGCAUGGCACCACGUAAAUGGGAAGUAGAAUUCCCAUGGUUUAUAAAUAAUGCAACCGUUUGCGUGGUAACGUAAGAGUUCUUUGUUCCAAAAAGCUUUUGUUGUCUAUUAAUGUGUGCACCUUUUCCCAAAACGGACGCAAAAAAUACCACAUCAUAUUUGUGUUAUAUCAUGAAGCCAUGCCAAAUUUCUUGAAUUUUGUGUGAGUUUUAAAUUUAUUACAGUUUAAACCAAUAUUCUCAACAUUGUAUCUAGAAUAAAAAUAUAUUGAAAACAUGUCUUAAAUAGGAAAAAAAUAC
This 443-nucleotide long non-coding RNA is filed under the name Hordeum vulgare. Its description in RNAcentral is "long non-coding RNA (HVUL_LNC016697)". The record is from RNAcentral. Lineage: Eukaryota; Viridiplantae; Streptophyta; Magnoliopsida; Poales; Poaceae.